This 2701-nucleotide long non-coding RNA is filed under the name Salmo salar (Atlantic salmon). RNAcentral describes it as "lncRNA (ENSSSAG00000114878.1)". Lineage: Eukaryota; Metazoa; Chordata; Actinopteri; Salmoniformes; Salmonidae. The record is from RNAcentral.
CGGGGCACCAAGGAAAAUAUUCAGAUUACAAAGUUAUAAUUUCCCUAAUAUAACUUUCAGACAUUAUAAUAUCUGAUCUAUGAGUCCUCUGAUUUAAUGAUGUAUUUUUACCUCGUCAGUCUCAUUCCAAGCGUCGUAAAUUGUUAAUUAUCUGCACGAACCCAGUCCUCACUGUGAGUCAUCCAUACGUCAAUUGUCUUAAAAUCAUUUAUUUACUAAACUAAGUAAUUCACAGAAAGGCAUACAAAACAGUAGGUAUCGUUACAAAGAAAUGGUAGAGGAAUGUGCCCUAGUGGGCUAAACCGGCAUGGCGGCUUGUUAACCUCUCUGGGCUAGGUGGCACCAAAUCGUCCUACCUACGUAAAAGCCAGUUGAAUCCUGUGGCGCGAUUUUCAAAUACCUUAGAAAUGCUAUUACUUCAAUUUCUCAAACAUAUGACUAUUUUACAGCAUUUUAAAGACAAGACUCUCGUUAAUCUAACCACACUGUCCGAUUUCAAAAAGGCUUUACAACGAAAGCAAAACAUUAGAUUAUGUCAGCAGAGUACCCAGCCAGAAAUAAUCAGACACCCAUUUUUCAAGCUAGCAUAUAAUGUCACAAAAACCCAGAAGACAGCUAAAUGCAGCACUAACCUUUGAUGAUCUUCAUCAGAUGACACACUUAGGACAUUAUGUUAUACAAUACAUGCAUGUUUUGUUCAAUCAAGUUCAUAUUUAUAUCAAAAAACAGCUUUUUACAUUAGCAUGUGACGUUCAGAACUAGCAUACCCCCGCAAACUUCCGGGGAAUUUACUAACAAUUUACUAAAUUACUCACGAUAAACGUUCACAAAAAGCAUAACAAUUAUUUUAAGAAUUAUAGAUACAGAACUCCUCUAUGCACUCGAUAUGUCCGAUUUUAAAAUAGCUUUUUGGUGAAAGCACAUUUUGCAAUAUUCUAAGUACAUAGCCCAGCCAUCACGGGCUAGCUAUUUAGACACCCGGCAAGUUUAGCCUUCACCAAAAUCAGAUUUACUAUAAGAAAAAUGUUAUUAUCUUUCCUGUUCUUCGUCAGAAUGCACUCCCAGGACUUCUACUUCAAUAACAAAUGUUGGUUUGGUCCCAAAUAAUCCAUCGUUAUAUCCAAACAGCGGCUUUUUGUUUGUGCGUUCUAGACACUAUCCGAAAUGGUAAAUCAGGGUCGUGCGCAUGGCGCAUUUCGUGACAAAAAAUGUCUAAAUAUUCCAUUACCGUACUUCAAAGCAUGUCAACCGCUGUUUAAAAUCAAUUUUUAUGCAAUUUAUCUUGUAAAAAAGCGAUAAUAUUCCGACCGGGAAUCUGCGUUUCGGUAAAUAGAGGGAAAAACAGAAAGACGGGGGCGGCCAGUGCACGAGCCUAAGCCUUUUGUCCUCUGAUAGACCACUUAGCAAAAGCGCUCGUGUGUUUCAGCCAGGGCUUUGAAUUACGUCAUUCAGCUUUUUCCCGGGCUCUGAGAGCCCAUUGGAGCCGUAGGAAGUGUCACGUAACAGCAGAGAUCCUUUGUAAUGGAUAGAGAUGAGAAAGAAGGCCAAGAAAUGGUCAGACAGGCCACUUCCUGUAAAGGAAUCUCUCAGGUUUUUGCCUGCCAUAUGAGUUCUGUUAUACUCACAGACACCAUUCAAACAGUUUUAGAAACUUUAGGGUGUUUUCUAUCCAUAUCUAAUAAGUAUAUGCAUAUUCUAGUUACUGGGUAGGAGUGGUAACCAGAUUAAAUCGGGUAUGUUUUUUAUCCGGCGGUGUAAAUACUGCCCCCUAGCCCUAACAGGUUAAACAAAAGAGUUGGUUCAGAGAUGAAUAUUAUACAAUUGGAAUGCUAAUCCUUUGCACAUGAACGCUCACUCAUUCGGGAACAAUUGCAAUCAAUAUAUAUAUUUACGCUCAGGGUGUCGUCGGGAUGUUGAAAAGUUCUGUUCUGUUGGAGAGUUUUGUCCUCGCGUUCUCUCUCUCUCUCUCGGUUAGACUGGAUCUUUCAAAGUGACAUUCAUUAAUGUCGUUAUAGAAGAGAUGUUUCGGCGGUCUUCGCGUUCAAUGAUACCGAAUUCCUAGCUGCAGACUAGUAAUUAAUAUCAAAGACUUGUUCUUAUUCUGUCGGUAGUCUAAUAGUUUAAGCAUGUGGUAUGGUUAAAGUUCAGUAGAGGAAUGCAUGGUCAAACCUUGGCCCUCUUGUUAUGGAGGUAAGCUGGUCUGGCGAAAUAAACCCGGGGUGGGGGUUCAUAUACUGAACGUAGAAAAGGCUGUCACAUGACGCCUUGUCCUGUCUGUGUCCCUGGGGGCGUGCCGAUGACUUGGUAAAACUUUAAACAGAAAAUACAAUUCUCUCACAUUAAUAUCUUACAAGCAUCCCAACAUAUUCCAAAUAGCUUUAUCCUUAUUCAUUAAUUUUAUACAACCAUUCGAUGUAAGUCUCAUCGCUGAGGCUAGUAUAUAAACCUUAUUAUGGUAAUAUGGCCGUAUUGUCUCUCAUGAGUUUCACAAAAUUGUACCAAACGGACCAGUUCGUAGCUGGAGUCUUCACCGAUCUUUUAUACCUUCUCCAGAACAUAAAUGUCGUUCGGUUCCCCCGUCCUGUGAGGUGGAAGAAUUACUUUGUCUCUCUAUGAAACCACUCUGUCUCAAAACUGUGGCCAUGAGGCAGGACAUUCCCUUUGGAAUUUACGACCGCCUUCUGACCACAGCAGCCUGGGU